Small nuclear RNA from Camelus dromedarius (Arabian camel), 107 nucleotides. The record is from Ensembl. Lineage: Eukaryota; Metazoa; Chordata; Mammalia; Artiodactyla; Camelidae.
GUGCUCGCUUUGGCAGCACAUAUACUAAAAUUGGAACGAUGCAGAGAAGAUUAGCAUGGCCCCUGCACAAGGAAGACAUGCAAAUCUGUGAAGUGUUCCAUAUUAAA